RNAcentral lists this ribosomal RNA (253 nucleotides) under uncultured bacterium. RNAcentral describes it as "partial 16S ribosomal RNA". It matches the Rfam family "Bacterial small subunit ribosomal RNA", at positions 524 to 776 of the family's 1533-position model. The record is from RNAcentral.
GACAGAGGGUGCAAACGUUGUUCGGAAUUACUGGGCGUAAAGCGCGUGUAGGCGGCUUGGCAAGUCGGGUGUGAAAACCCCGGGCUCAACCUGGGAAGUGCACUCGAAACUGCUUGGCUUGAGUACUGGAGAGGGAAGCGGAAUUCUCGGUGUAGAGGUGAAAUUCGUAGAUAUCGAGAGGAACACCGGUGGCGAAGGCGGCUUCCUGGACAGUUACUGACGCUGAGACGCGAAAGCGUGGGGAGCAAACAGG